ACUACAUAGAUAGAUAUCGAUAUGAUAUGAUGGCUUCUUUCAGGCCUUUCUCCCUCUCGUCGCCGAUGACAACGACGAUGCUCCUGCUCUUUCUUCUCCUCUGCACGAAUUCCGCCACCGCCGACGUCGCCGGCAGCAAUGGCGGCUGCGGCGGCUUCAAGCGCAUGUUCAGCUUCGGCGACUCCAUCACCGACGCCGGCAACCUCGCGACCAUCAGCCCUCCCGACGCCUCCUUCAACAGGCUCCCCUACGGCGAGACCUUCUUCGGCCACCCCACCGGCCGCUUCUGCGACGGCAGGCUCAUCGUCGACUUCCUAGCGGAUGAUCUGGGGCUGCCGUUCCUGACGCCGUUCCUCCGGGCGAAGUCGCCGGAGGACUUCCGGCAGGGGGCCAACUUCGCGGUGGCCGGAGCGACGGCGCUGAGCCAGGACUUCUUCAAGCAGAUGGGGCUCAACCUCACCAUCAUACCUCCAUUCUCGCUGGACGUGCAGCUCGAGUGAGAUCAGAUAACUGAUUGGUUGGUGUUUGAGAGGAAGCAUGCAGGUCACAUGCCAUUAUUAGAGAAGUCCCAGCAGCCUACAACAGUGAAUUUGUUAUAUCUAGAAUUUUAUAUUCUGCUAUACAAUAUCUUGUAUAUAACUUAAUUGUAUUUGC
RNAcentral lists this long non-coding RNA (654 nucleotides) under Oryza sativa aus subgroup. Its description in RNAcentral is "lncRNA OsNaBo_03g0018420". The record is from RNAcentral. Lineage: Eukaryota; Viridiplantae; Streptophyta; Magnoliopsida; Poales; Poaceae.